CAACAUUCAGAGGCAACAAAGAGAUGAUCUUAUGUCUUAUCAAUUAACUUUCAUUCUCAUAUCACGAUUUCAUUGAGCAUGUUUAGAAUAGAGGAAGCAAGGAGAUGCUUGUCAUGUCCAACUGUUUAUCCUGUGAAGGUCUAUGAGUACUCUGUACGGCGAUCUGUGAGCCUGCCACUGCUGGUGGAUGGUGUACAAGAUUUGCAGUCACGCUACCAUGGAGCCCAGAGAUGCCUCUCUCCUGCUCUCUCCAUCUCAUCAUCAUUGGCCUCAUCUGAGGACUUUAUGACCGCAUGCAGUCGGCUGUCUGCAUGCUCUUCCCUCGCU
Molecule: long non-coding RNA, 327 nt
Organism: Engraulis encrasicolus (European anchovy)
Lineage: Eukaryota; Metazoa; Chordata; Actinopteri; Clupeiformes; Engraulidae
Exons: 3
Source: RefSeq, a predicted model, not a curated record